Molecule: ribosomal RNA, 253 nt
Filed under: uncultured bacterium
Lineage: Bacteria
Description: partial 16S ribosomal RNA
Rfam family: Bacterial small subunit ribosomal RNA
Source: RNAcentral
UACGUAGGUGGCAAGCGUUGUUCGGAAUUAUUGGGCGUAAAGAGCGUGUAGGCGGCCCGGUAAGUCCGCUGUGAAAGUCGGGGGCUCAACCCUCGAAUGCCGGUGGAUACUGUCGGGCUAGAGUGCGGAAGAGGCGAGUGGAAUUCCUGGUGUAGCGGUGAAAUGCGUAGAUAUCAGGAAGAACACCCGUGGCGAAGGCGGCUCUCUGGGACGGUACUGACGCUGAGACGCGAAAGCGUGGGGAGCGAACAGG